ACGAACGCUGGCGGCGUGCUUAACACAUGCCAGUCGAACGGAAAGGCCCCUUUGGGGGUACUCGAGUGGCGAACGGGUGAGUAACACGUGAGUAACCUGCCCUUGACUUCGGGAUAACUUCAGGAAACUGGGGCUAAUACCGGAUAGGAAUCCUUGCUGCAUGGUGGGGGUUGGAAAGCUUCGGCGGUUUUAGAUGGACUCGCGGCUUAUCAGCUUGUUGGUGGGGUAGUGGCUUACCAAGGCUUUGACGGGUAGCCGGCCUGAGAGGGCGACCGGCCACAUUGGGACUGAGAUACGGCCCAGACUCCUACGGGAGGCAGCAGUGGGGAAUAUUGCACAAUGGGCGGAAGCCUGAUGCAGCAACGCCGCGUGCGGGAUGACGGCCUUCGGGUUGUAAACCGCUUUCAGCAGGGGCGAAGCUUGUGGUGACGGUACCUGCAGAAGAAGCACCGGCUAACUACGUG
Molecule: ribosomal RNA, 464 nt
Filed under: uncultured bacterium
Lineage: Bacteria
Description: partial 16S ribosomal RNA
Rfam family: Bacterial small subunit ribosomal RNA
Source: RNAcentral